UGUCAUCCUCACCUGGGACCCUUUGCAAUCAAAUUGCUUGAAAGUUGUUUCUUCGCCCCUUAGCCACACCUCUAUAUCCACCAUUUCUUCCAUAAUAUGAUAUCAAAUUCAAAUCUCAUCAUCUUGUAGAGUUUUAGUUUCCACCGAUAGAUCAGAUAUGUACGUGUCAAAAACCCAUUUCAUGAUUCCUACAAAGAGGAUAACAUAUGCACAUGCACACUUACAAUUCGGACAUUUUUAGCCAUCCAAAUGUCUCAAAACUCAAAAGCUCUCCGUUAACAUACUGUAAAUGACUUCUAAAUGUUAGCCACCGGGGAGCUCACUGCCAACAGCAUCAGGCAGCCAGAGCUGAGUCAGUCUGAGCAAACCACACCAAGAGUCUUAACCAUAUUAUCUACUGUGAUAGAGAAGCUAGUGGCUCGAAAUGAUCGACUUGUGGAUGGCUUGAACCAUCAGAUGAAUGGGAUGAGCUCUGGCUUGACUAGGCUUGGGAAGAGCUUAAACGCAUUUCAUGGUGUAAGAGCACCUAGUAUAAGCGUACAAAAAUACUUGGAGAGGCUAUACAAGUACACAAAUUGCAGCCCAUCCUGUUUUGUGGUUGGAUAUGUGUACAUGGAUAGGCUGGCUCACAAGCACCCUGACUCUCUUGUGAUAUCAUUGAAUGUGCAUAGGUUGCUGGUUACAAGUGUCUUGGUUGCUUCUAAGAUGCUGGAUGAUGUGCACUAUAACAAUGCAUUCUAUGCAAGGGUAGGGGGAGUGAGCAAUGCAGAAUUGAACAGGUUGGAAAUUGAAUUCCUGUUCCUCUUAGAUUUUGGAGUUAUGGUCAGUUCUCGAAUUUUUGAGAACUAUUGCUUGCACUUGGAAAAAGAGAUGAUGUUGAAUGUUGCAGUUCAGAAAAUUGAAAGAGUAAUACCCUCCAAUUCCUUGGAUGAUGUAACAGAAAUAUCAGUGGAAGAUACACAAAACUUGUCACCACCUCAAGUAGUAGUGGACUGACUCUUUUGAGCUAAUUUCUUUCGUUGUUCUCCCCUUCUUGCUUGUCUUUGUAAAAUUCUUGUAACUUCGGCCACGGAGUUGGAUAUUGACGCAGAUUUGGUAUCUAACAAAGCCAAAUGGCAAUAAAGAAUCUAUAUAAUUGAUCUCAACUAGUUUGGAAUUAAAUUUUAGUUGUUGUUGUGUUGAGGCCAUGGAGUUGUUAUAAUCUUGCAAUUAGAUCAAGUGUUUCAGCUGUGCCUUCUUCACAAAACUGAAGAAAUGACAAAAGAAUGAAAUUGGUAAAUGGAAAUUGGAUUCACUGAAUUGCUAGAAUUUUUCUCUGUGCUAUAUUCAUUUUGUUUUGAAAUUUAAAGGUUUUUAAGUAUUCACAUGAUCAGGGCUCAUCGGGCUUCUUAGGGUAGAACUCAUCUUUCUUGUUGAAAUCCCAAGUUUUGUAUGGAAGAACACAAAAUCUAUCAGAUAUAAAUUUUUUUUCAACAUUUAUUAUUGACUCUAAA
RNAcentral lists this unclassified non-coding RNA (1493 nucleotides) under Hevea brasiliensis (rubber tree). The record is from RNAcentral. Lineage: Eukaryota; Viridiplantae; Streptophyta; Magnoliopsida; Malpighiales; Euphorbiaceae.